Oncorhynchus tshawytscha (Chinook salmon) is the source of this 1705-nucleotide long non-coding RNA. Lineage: Eukaryota; Metazoa; Chordata; Actinopteri; Salmoniformes; Salmonidae. The record is from Ensembl.
GCGGCGGAUGGAAGAGAGAAGGAAACGGAAGGCACGGGAGUAGGAGAACCAGGAAAAGCGGCGGAAGAAGGCAAACGAGUGGAGAAGCAUGAGAGAGAAGAAAGCGAGGGAGGAGUGUUGGAGAAGAAGACGGUGGAAGAGCAAGUGGACUGGGGGGAAAGUGCCCUGGUGGAAGAGAUGAGGGGUAUGGUGGAGGAGCUGGGGGGGGGAGGGUGCGAGGGAGGAGUGUUGGAGAAGGAGACGGUGGAAGAGCAAGUGGACUGGGGGGAAAGUGCCCUGGUGGAAGAGAUGAGGGGUAUGGUGGAGGAGCUGGCGGGGGGGAGGGUGGUAUCUCUCCACUGCCGCCAUCACCAAAGAAGAGAAUGAAGAGGAGGGUGCGAUUGGCCGACAGUGAGAGGGAGGGGAUGGCCAAGAGAGUGAUGGGGGUGGGAGAAACCUCUGGGUUGCUGCUGGUUUCCCCAGGCCCUCAACUUCUGUUGGGUGGGGACACACCUAACAAGACUCAGGACUGGGUACAGGAGGAGGUGGGGAGUUUUUUGUUUGGGGACUCAGCCUCCCCGAUUUUUUUUCCAAACCAGCUGCAGCACUGGGGAGAGGGAGGAGUGUGGGGGUAGACCCAGGGUGCAGGGCACCCCGGAGCCAAACACUAUUCCUGCAUCCUGGGUUGGUGAGAUGGAGGAAGAGGGGGGGAUGUCGGGAGUAUGGAUGGUGUUCUCACCGGUAGAUAUGGAGCAGGGGAGCAUCGGGUGAGUCUCCUGUUUUUGUUUUUUUUCUGUCUGGGUUUAGAAUUUGAGUGUAUUACAUGAUUUUAUUUUAUUCUUUCAUGGCAUCUAAUUUUACUUUUGUUAGUUUAAAUGUAAGGGGUUUAAGGGAUUUUGUUAAGAGGAGGGCGGUUUUUAGUUAUUUGGAGGUUGUGGGGUUUGAUUUUUGUUUUUUACAGGAGGUUCACCUGAGGGAUGGAGGGGAUGUUAGUAGGUUUAAGAGGGAGUGGGACAAGGGGGAGUCAGUUUGGGGUAUUGGGGGGGUGCACUCAUCGGGGGUAGGGAUUUUGUCUGGGCACAGGGAGGUAAAAGUGGAGGAUUCUUUUGUGGUAAUGCAGGGGAGGGUUAUAGGGGUGGAUGUCACAAUAAGGGAUUGUAAAUUUAGAUUAGUGGUGGUGUAUGGGCCACAUGUGGUGGCAGACAGGAGGGAGAUGGUGGACUGUCUGACGCCCCUGUGUGUCACAAAUAGGAAAUUAGUGAUAGGGGGGGGGAUUUUAAUACAGAUUUAGGAAUAGGGGGGAUAGCAGUGCAGGCGCCAUUACCAGGCUAAUGGCUUGCCAUGGUCUGGUUGAUGGUGGUCUGCACACUACUCCGAAAAUGGCCGGUCCUACAUGGCGCAACUCCAGGGGGGUUGAGCGGAGGCUCGACUAUAUUUUUGUACCCAGGUCUUUGGGUAAGUUGUCUGGGCGGCUGUUGCCUGUUUUCUUUUCGGAUCACGACGGGGUGCUCCUGCAGGUGGGGUCGCCAGUCUGCCUCUUUGGUAGGGGGUACUGGAAGUUAGAUCGGGAUGUGCUGGAGGAGCAGGCUUUUGUUGACGGGUUUUAUGGUUUCUUUUGGAGGCUUGAAGGCCUCAGGUCCAUGUGCGAGGGGGUGUUAGAGUGGUGGAGAUUAGUUAAGGUGAGGAUUAGGGCUUUUAUAAUAGGGUAUUGCAAGAGGAAAAAAAG